AUUGAACGCUGGCGGCAGGCCUAACACAUGCAAGUCGAACGGUAACAGGAAGAAGCUUGCUUCUUUGCUGACGAGUGGCGGACGGGUGAGUAAUGUCUGGGAAACUGCCUGAUGGAGGGGGAUAACUACUGGAAACGGUAGCUAAUACCGCAUAACGUCGCAAGACCAAAGAGGGGGACCUUCGGGCCUCUUGCCAUCGGAUGUGCCCAGAUGGGAUUAGCUAGUAGGUGGGGUAACGGCUCACCUAUGCGACGAUCCCUAGCUGGUCUGAGAGGAUGACCAGCCACACUGGAACUGAGACACGGUCCAGACUCCUACGGGAGGCAGCAGUGGGGAAUAUUGCACAAUGGGCGCAAGCCUGAUGCAGCCAUGCCGCGUGUAUGAAGAAGGCCUUCGGGUUGUAAAGUACUUUCAGCGGGGAGGAAGGGAGUAAAGUUAAUACCUUUGCUCAUUGACGUUACCCGCAGAAGAAGCACCGGCUAACUCCGUG
RNAcentral lists this ribosomal RNA (490 nucleotides) under uncultured bacterium. Its description in RNAcentral is "partial 16S ribosomal RNA". It matches the Rfam family "Bacterial small subunit ribosomal RNA", at positions 30 to 507 of the family's 1533-position model. The record is from RNAcentral.